Molecule: ribosomal RNA, 270 nt
Filed under: uncultured archaeon
Lineage: Archaea
Description: partial 16S ribosomal RNA
Rfam family: Archaeal small subunit ribosomal RNA
Source: RNAcentral
CAGCACCUCAAGUGGUCAGGAUGAUUAUUGGGCCUAAAGCAUCCGUAGCCUGCUUUGUUAGUUUUCGGUUAAAUCCAUAUGCUCAACGUAUGGGCUGCCGGGAAUACUGCAAAGCUAGGGAGUGGGAGAGGUAGACGGUACUCGGUAGGAAGGGGUAAAAUCCUUUGAUCUAUUGAUGACCACCUGUGGCGAAGGCAGUCUACCAGAACACGUCCGACGGUGAGGGAUGAAAGCUGGGGGAGCAAGCCGGAUUAGAUACCCGAGUAGUCC